UUCCAGUGUAUUUGUUCUGAGAAAAUAGUGACCAUGUAAAUAAAAAGCAGCACUACCCAGCAGAUAUUAAUGGUGAUUUAUGUGCCAGCUGGGAUACUGUUGCAGCAUUUGUGAUAGCACUGAAACCAAAAGAAAACCUUGGGCAACAACACUGAAAACACCUCAGGACCAGUGAUGAUGGGAACAGGACACGCUGCCAACUGUGCCUAAGAGUCAGAGGCAGGAAGCUGUUCCUUACCUGGAACCUUGUCACCUGGGAAGUAGAAGGACAUGUUGGUGUGGACAGUGACGUAGUUGCUGUUGGGGCUGUGCAGCUGCACUCUGAGGUGCCUGGGCAUCAUGUCGGCGCAGGCAGAAAGGCUCGCGCCGUGCGAGAAGGCGGCCACGC
Molecule: long non-coding RNA, 388 nt
Organism: Neopelma chrysocephalum (saffron-crested tyrant-manakin)
Lineage: Eukaryota; Metazoa; Chordata; Aves; Passeriformes; Pipridae
Exons: 3
Source: RefSeq, a predicted model, not a curated record